AUGCGCUCAAUGCCGGGCGGGUCGCCGCCGGACGCCCGACCCGCACGCACGGGCCACCCGCGGCGACCCGCCCGGCAUUGAGCGCAU
RNAcentral lists this unclassified non-coding RNA (87 nucleotides) under Frankia canadensis. RNAcentral's name for it is "mir-160". Lineage: Bacteria; Bacillati; Actinomycetota; Actinomycetes; Frankiales; Frankiaceae. The record is from RNAcentral.